Molecule: ribosomal RNA, 326 nt
Filed under: uncultured eukaryote
Lineage: Eukaryota
Description: partial 18S ribosomal RNA
Rfam family: Eukaryotic small subunit ribosomal RNA
Source: RNAcentral
CCCUUAGAUGUUCUGGGCUGCACGCGCGCUACACUGAUGCACUCAACGAGUUUACGACCUUGCCCGAUAGGGUUGGGUAAUCUUUUUAAAAUGCAUCGUGAUGGGGAUAGAUUAUUGCAAUUAUUAAUCUUCAACGAGGAAUUCCUAGUAAGCGCGAGUCAUCAGCUCGUGCUGAUUACGUCCCUGCCCUUUGUACACACCGCCCGUCGCUCCUACCGAUUGAGUGCUCAGGUGAAUAAUUCGGACUGCAGCAAUGUUUGGAUCCCGAACGUUGCAGCGGAAAGUUUAGUGAGCCUUAUCACUUAGAGGAAGGAGAAGUCGUAACA